This 253-nucleotide ribosomal RNA is filed under the name uncultured bacterium. RNAcentral describes it as "partial 16S ribosomal RNA". It matches the Rfam family "Bacterial small subunit ribosomal RNA", at positions 524 to 776 of the family's 1533-position model. The record is from RNAcentral.
UACGUAGGGGGCGAGCGUUGUCCGGAGUUACUGGGCGUAAAGGGCAUGCAGGCGGUCGUGCAAGUUUGGGGUGACAGCUGUCGGCUUAACCGGCAGAGCGUCUCGAAGACUGCAGGACUUGAGGGCCAAAGAGGGACACAGAAUUCCGGGUGUAGUGGUGAAAUGCGUAGAUAUCCGGAGGAAUACCAAAGGCGAAGGCAGUGUCCUGGUUGGCACCUGACGCUGAGGUGCGAAAGCUAGGGGAGCGAACGGG